This 253-nucleotide ribosomal RNA is filed under the name uncultured bacterium. RNAcentral describes it as "partial 16S ribosomal RNA". It matches the Rfam family "Bacterial small subunit ribosomal RNA", at positions 524 to 776 of the family's 1533-position model. The record is from RNAcentral.
UACGUAGGGUGCAAGCGUUGUCCGGAAUUAUUGGGCGUAAAGAGCUCGUAGGCGGUUUGUCGCGUCUGCUGUGAAAACUCGGGGCUUAACCCCGGGCCUGCAGUGGGUACGGGCAGACUAGAGUGCGGUAGGGGAGACUGGAAUUCCUGGUGUAGCGGUGAAAUGCGCAGAUAUCAGGAGGAACACCGAUUGCGAAGGCAGCUCGCUGGGACGUUACUGACGCUGAGGAGCGAAAGCGUGGGGAGCGAACAGG